This 251-nucleotide ribosomal RNA is filed under the name uncultured bacterium. RNAcentral describes it as "partial 16S ribosomal RNA". It matches the Rfam family "Bacterial small subunit ribosomal RNA", at positions 524 to 776 of the family's 1533-position model. The record is from RNAcentral.
UACAGAGGUCCCGAGCGUUGUUCGGAUUCACUGGGCGUAAAGGGUGCGUAGGUGGCUUGGUAAGUUUGAUGUGAAAGCUCAGGGCUUAACCCUGAAAUGGCAUUGAAUACUACUGAGCUGGAGGUUUGGAGGGGGGACUGGAAUUCUUGGUGUAGCAGUGAAAUGCGUAGAUAUCAAGAGGAACACCAGUGGAAGGCGAGUCCCUGGACAACACCUGACACUGAGGCACGAAAGCUAGGGGAGCAAACAGG